This 557-nucleotide ribosomal RNA is filed under the name uncultured beta proteobacterium. RNAcentral's name for it is "bacterial SSU rRNA". It matches the Rfam family "Bacterial small subunit ribosomal RNA", at positions 19 to 573 of the family's 1533-position model. Lineage: Bacteria; Pseudomonadati; Pseudomonadota; Betaproteobacteria. The record is from RNAcentral.
CUGGCUCAGAUUGAACGCUGGCGGAAUGCUUUACACAUGCAAGUCGAGCGGCAGCGCGGGGCAACCUGGCGGCGAGCGGCGAACGGGUGAGUAAUACAUCGGAACAUACCCAGUCGUGGGGGAUAACACUUCGAAAGAAGUGCUAAUACCGCAUACGUCCUGAGGGAGAAAGCGGGGGAUCUUCGGACCUCGCGCGAUUGGAGUGGCCGAUGUCAGAUUAGCUAGUUGGUGGGGUAAAGGCCUACCAAGGCGACGAUCUGUAGCUGGUCUGAGAGGACGACCAGCCACACUGGGACUGAGACACGGCCCAGACUCCUACGGGAGGCAGCAGUGGGGAAUUUUGGACAAUGGGGGCAACCCUGAUCCAGCCAUUCCGCGUGAGUGAAGAAGGCCUUCGGGUUGUAAAGCUCUUUCGGCAGGAACGAAACGGCGCGCUCUAACAUAGCGCGUUAAUGACGGUACCUGAAGAAGAAGCACCGGCUAACUACGUGCCAGCAGCCGCGGUAAUACGUAGGGUGCGAGCGUUAAUCGGAAUUACUGGGCGUAAAGCGUGCGCA